RNAcentral lists this ribosomal RNA (497 nucleotides) under uncultured bacterium. Its description in RNAcentral is "partial 16S ribosomal RNA". It matches the Rfam family "Bacterial small subunit ribosomal RNA", at positions 28 to 507 of the family's 1533-position model. The record is from RNAcentral.
GAUGAACGCUGGCGGCGUGCCUAAUACAUGCAAGUCGAGCGAACGGACGAGAAGCUUGCUUCUCUGAUGUUAGCGGCGGACGGGCGAGUAACACGUGGAUAACCUACCUAUAAGACUGGGAUAACUUCGGGAAACCGGAGCUAAUACCGGAUAAUAUUUUGAACCGCAUUGUUCAAAAGUGAAAGACGGUCUUGCUGUCACUUAUAGAUGGAUCCGCGCUGCAUUAGCUAGUUGGUAAGGUAACGGCUUACCAAGGCAACGAUGCAUAGCCGACCUGAGAGGGUGAUCGGCCAAACUGGAACUGAGACACGGUCCAGACUCCUACGGGAGGCAGCAGUAGGGAAUCUUCCGCAAUGGGCGAAAGCCUGACGGAGCAACGCCGCGUGAGUGAUGAAGGUCUUCGGAUCGUAAAACUCUGUUAUUAGGGAAGAACAUAUGUGUAAGUAACUGUGCACAUCUUGACGGUACCUAAUCAGAAAGCCACGGCUAACUACGUG